CAGUCGAACGGAGAUAUCAUUUUCGAAGCGAUUAGUUUACUAAGAGCGGAGAUGUUGCUAUCUUAGUGGCGGACGGGUGAGUAACGCGUGGGUAACCUGCCUUGCACUGGGGGAUAACACUUAGAAAUAGGUGCUAAUACCGCAUAACAGUAGGAGACGCAUGUCUUUUACUUGAAAACUCCGGUGGUGUAAGAUGGACCCGCGUCUGAUUAGCUUGUUGGCGGGGUAACGGCUCACCAAGGCAGCGAUCAGUAGCCGGCCUGAGAGGGUGGACGGCCACAUUGGGACUGAGACACGGCCCAAACUCCUACGGGAGGCAGCAGUGGGGAAUAUUGCACAAUGGGGGAAACCCUGAUGCAGCGACGCCGCGUGAGUGAAGAAGUAUCUCGGUACGUAAAGCUCUAUCAGCAGGGAAGAUAAUGACGGUACCUGACCAAGAAGCCCCGGCUAACUACGUGCCAGCAGCCGCGGUAAUACGUAGGGGGCAAGCGUUAUCCGGAUUUACUGGGUGUAAAGGGAGCGUAGACGGCAGCACAAGUCUGGAGUGAAAUCCCGGGGCUUAACCCCGGAACUGCUUUGGAAACUGUGCGGCUGGAGUGCAGGAGGGGUAAGCGGAAUUCCUAGUGUAGCGGUGAAAUGCGUAGAUAUUAGGAGGAACACCGGUGGCGAAGGCGGCUUACUGGACUGUAACUGACGUUGAGGCUCGAAAGCGUGGGGAGCAAACAGGA
Molecule: ribosomal RNA, 728 nt
Filed under: uncultured bacterium
Lineage: Bacteria
Description: bacterial SSU rRNA
Rfam family: Bacterial small subunit ribosomal RNA
Source: RNAcentral